This 555-nucleotide ribosomal RNA is filed under the name uncultured bacterium. RNAcentral describes it as "bacterial SSU rRNA". It matches the Rfam family "Bacterial small subunit ribosomal RNA", at positions 343 to 916 of the family's 1533-position model. The record is from RNAcentral.
GCGGGAAUUCGAUUGGGAAUAUUGGACAAUGGGCGAAAGCCUGAUCCAGCCAUGCCGCGUGAGUGAUGAAGGCCCUAGGGUUGUAAAGCUCUUUCACCGGUGAAGAUAAUGACGGUAGCCGGAGAAGAAGCCCCGGCUAACUUCGUGCCAGCAGCCGCGGUAAUACGAAGGGGGCUAGCGUUGUUCGGAAUUACUGGGCGUAAAGCGCACGUAGGCGGACAUUUAAGUCAGGGGUGAAAUCCCGGGGCUCAACCCCGGAGCUGCCUUUGAUACUGGGUGUCUCGAGUCCGAGAGAGGUGAGUGGAAUUCCGAGUGUAGAGGUGAAAUUCGUAGAUAUUCGGAGGAACACCAGUGGCGAAGGCGGCUCACUGGCUUGGUACUGACGCUGAGGUGCGAAAGUGUGGGGAGCAAACAGGAUUAGAUACCCUGGUAGUCCACACCGUAAACGAUGGAAGCUAGCCGUCGGGCAGUAUACUGUUCGGUGGCGCAGUUAACGCAUUAAGCUUCCCGCCUGGGGAGUACGGUCGCAAGAUUAAAACUCAAAGGAAUUGACGG